UGGGGAAUAUUGCACAAUGGGCGCAAGCCUGAUGCAGCGAUGCCGCGUGAGGGAAGAAGGUUUUCGGAUUGUAAACCUCUGUCAUCAGGGACGAAAAAAGACGGUACCUGAGAAGGAAGCUCCGGCUAACUACGUGCCAGCAGCCGCGGUAAUACGUAGGGGCAAGCGUUAUCCGGAUUUACUGGGUGUAAAGGGAGCGUAGACGGUGUGGCAAGUCUGAUGUGAAAGGCAUGGGCUCAACCUGUGGACUGCAUUGGAAACUGUCAUACUUGAGUGCCGGAGGGGUAAGCGGAAUUCCUAGUGUAGCGGUGAAAUGCGUAGAUAUUAGGAGGAACACCAGUGGCGAAGGCGGCUUACUGGACGGUAACUGACGUUGAGGCUCGAAAGCGUGGGGAGCAAACAGGAUUAGAUACCCUGGUAGU
This 422-nucleotide ribosomal RNA is filed under the name uncultured Blautia sp. Its description in RNAcentral is "bacterial SSU rRNA". It matches the Rfam family "Bacterial small subunit ribosomal RNA", at positions 355 to 794 of the family's 1533-position model. Lineage: Bacteria; Bacillati; Bacillota; Clostridia; Lachnospirales; Lachnospiraceae. The record is from RNAcentral.